Molecule: ribosomal RNA, 544 nt
Filed under: uncultured bacterium
Lineage: Bacteria
Description: partial 16S ribosomal RNA
Rfam family: Bacterial small subunit ribosomal RNA
Source: RNAcentral
UGGGGAAUAUUGCACAAUGGGCGAAAGCCUGAUGCAGCAACGCCGCGUGAGUGAUGAAGGUCUUCGGAUUGUAAAGCUCUGUCUUUUGGGACGAUAAUGACGGUACCAAAGGAGGAAGCCACGGCUAACUACGUGCCAGCAGCCGCGGUAAUACGUAGGUGGCGAGCGUUGUCCGGAUUUACUGGGCGUAAAGGGUGCGUAGGCGGAUGUUUAAGUGAGAUGUGAAAUACCCGGGCUUAACUUGGGUGCUGCAUUUCAAACUGGAUAUCUAGAGUGCAGGAGAGGAGAAUGGAAUUCCUAGUGUAGCGGUGAAAUGCGUAGAGAUUAGGAAGAACACCAGUGGCGAAGGCGAUUCUCUGGACUGUAACUGACGCUGAGGCACGAAAGCGUGGGUAGCAAACAGGAUUAGAUACCCUGGUAGUCCACGCCGUAAACGAUGAGUACUAGGUGUAGGAGGUAUCGACCCCUUCUGUGCCGCAGUAAACACAUUAGGUACUCCGCCUGGGAAGUACGAUCGCAAGAUUAAAACUCUAAGUGAAUUGAC